RNAcentral lists this ribosomal RNA (496 nucleotides) under uncultured bacterium. RNAcentral's name for it is "partial 16S ribosomal RNA". It matches the Rfam family "Bacterial small subunit ribosomal RNA", at positions 28 to 506 of the family's 1533-position model. The record is from RNAcentral.
GAUGAACGCUGGCGGCGUGCCUAAUACAUGCAAGUCGAGCGAACGGACGAGAAGCUUGCUUCUCUGAUGUUAGCGGCGGACGGGUGAGUAACACGUGGAUAACCUACCUAUAAGACUGGGAUAACUUCGGGAAACCGGAGCUAAUACCGGAUGAUAUUUUGAACCGCAUGGUUCAAAAGUGAAAGACGGUCUUGCUGUCACUUAUAGAUGGAUCCGCGCUGCAUUAGCUAGUUGGUAAGGUAACGGCUUACCAAGGCAACGAUGCAUAGCCGACCUGAGAGGGGAACCGGCACACGGGGAACGGGGCACGGUCCCAACUCCUACGGGGGGGCGGAGGGGGGAAAUUUUCCCCAAGGGGGGAAGGCCUAACGAGGCAACCCGCGGGGGUUGAUGAGGGCUUUGGAUUCGAAAACCCUUUUUAUUGGGAAAAAACAGAUUUGAAAGAAACUGUGCACUUUUUGCGGGAACCAAAGAAGAAGGCCCGGGUAAACUCCUU